AAGGAUUUCACCUGUCUGAGACCAGAUUUCAUGUUAAUUACUGAGUUGAGAUUCUGUACUAGCUGGCACUGUAAAUCUGAUUGUCACUCUGUGCCUGUGACAGGCUGGAGACUUGCUUCUUUUUCCACUCCUCACUGAGCCCUGGCUAGAGCAAGCUUCUUGCAGCAUGCCUGGUUGGUCCUGGUGGUUUUCCUAUGAGAGUAUUUUCACAGAGUGAAUAACCAUCUAGGGUUCGGUACUAGCCUCCAGUUCAAGCACCAUGCCUGUGAAAGUCCAAGUUGAAGAAUCAUUUGAAAGUGUGCUGAAGAGAAAUCACCUUAAGCUUUUGUGAAAUCCACUGUCAUGAAAGGAACAAUGGACAAGACUCAUGGCAGUGGCAGCCAAAGCCUCAACCAAAGGCUCUUGAAAGAAGAAACAUAUUCAAAGCCAUUAGUCUGUGGUUGCGUGUGUGUUUGGGUCUCCAACUCGCAUUCACUCCAUCCUGAUAAGUUUCUGUUUCUGAGAGGGAUCAACCUGUUGCUGAAAGAUUUAUCAUCAGGGAAC
Long non-coding RNA from Canis lupus familiaris (dog), 543 nucleotides. RefSeq lists it as uncharacterized. Lineage: Eukaryota; Metazoa; Chordata; Mammalia; Carnivora; Canidae. The record is from RefSeq and is a predicted model, not a curated record. The transcript has 3 exons.